AUGAGACUGCCAGACAGGACGGGCAGAGUCGGAAGUCCAGUUGUCUUGCUAUCACAAUCUAGGGUAGGCUCGGGUCUUUCCUCAGUGCGGGGAGGACCUUUGCUUUCAGAAAUGAACGUGGCGCGACAUAUCUCCACUCAGGCACCGGUGCGAUGCUGGUGGAGAAGUUUCUUUGGGACUGGUUGGGUUGCCUUUCUCCCCUUGGCCUUCGUGUUGGUGCUGGUGGCACCGGUGCGAUGCUGGUGGAGAAGUUUCUUUGGGACUGGUUGGGUUGCCUUUCUCCCCUUGGCCUUCGUGUUGGUGCUGGUGGUGCUGGUGGUGCUGGUGGUGCUGGUGGCGGUGCUCAUGGCCUUGUGGAUCGCUUCUCCUGUUUGGCACUUGGAGCUUCUCCAGCGUACUCCUUGCACCGGACAUGGAGCCCCAGGGAUCUUUGCGGACGAGCGUCGUGCCGGGGACGCGCGCAUCCCCGCCUCAUUCCUGCCGGACCCUCCGCCAAGUAGCACGAGGCCUCCCAAGGACAGACACCCAUAAAGGCUGCUUGCCCGUCUUCUCCCCGGACGCCUCUCGACGUCUGGGGCAUUUUCGAGAGCCUGACCGGCGGAAGGAGGCGGUUCAUGGACCUGCACCGCUCUUCCCUGCCCCGAAGGGCUCCGAGAUCUUCUCCUU
This 666-nucleotide long non-coding RNA is filed under the name Bos grunniens (domestic yak). RNAcentral describes it as "lncRNA (ENSBGRG00000010148.1)". Lineage: Eukaryota; Metazoa; Chordata; Mammalia; Artiodactyla; Bovidae. The record is from RNAcentral.